GUUUGAUCCUGGCUCAGAACGAACGCUGGCGGCAGGCUUCAUACAUGCAAGUCGCGCGAUUAAAGCCCCUUCGGGGGUAUAUAAAGCGGCGAACGGGUGAGUAACAGGUGGAUAAUCUGCCUUUCGGUGGGGGAUAACGGCUGGAAACGGCCGCUAAUACCGCAUGUGGUUGCUGGGACACAAGUUCCGGCAAAGAAAGGGGCUUCACGGCCCCGCCGAGAGAUGAGUCCGCCCCCCAUUAGCUAGUUGGCGGGAUAAUAGCCCACCAAGGCUUCGAUGGGUAGCCGAGCUGAGAGGUUGAUCGGCCACACUGGGACUGAGAUACGGCCCAGACACCUACGGGUGGCAGCAGUAGGGAAUAUUGGACAAUGGGCGAAAGCCUGAUCCAGCCAUGCCGCGUGAGUGAUGAAGGCCUUCGGGUCGUAAAACUCUUUUCUGAGGGAAGAACAUCCGGGGCAGGAAAUGGCCCCGGCUUGACGGUACCUCAGGAAUAAGCAACGGCUAACUCCGUGCCAGCAGCCGCGGUAAUACGGAGGUUGCGAGCGUUGUUCGGAUUAACUGGGCGUAAAGGGAGCGCAGGUGGUUUGGUAAGUCUAAAGUGAAAGCCCGGGGCUUAACCUCGGAAGUGCUUUGGAUACUGCCAGACUCGAGUUCGUGAUAGGAAAGCGGAAUUCCAGGUGUAGCGGUGAAAUGCGUAGAUAUCUGGAGGAACACCGGUGGCGAAAGCGGCUUUCUGGCGCGACACUGACA
RNAcentral lists this ribosomal RNA (750 nucleotides) under uncultured bacterium. Its description in RNAcentral is "bacterial SSU rRNA". It matches the Rfam family "Bacterial small subunit ribosomal RNA", at positions 11 to 745 of the family's 1533-position model. The record is from RNAcentral.